This 1419-nucleotide ribosomal RNA is filed under the name Leuconostoc holzapfelii. RNAcentral's name for it is "bacterial SSU rRNA". It matches the Rfam family "Bacterial small subunit ribosomal RNA". The record is from RNAcentral. Lineage: Bacteria; Bacillati; Bacillota; Bacilli; Lactobacillales; Lactobacillaceae.
UACAUGCAAGUCGAACGCGCAGCGAAAGGUGCUUGCACCUUUCAAGCGAGUGGCGAACGGGUGAGUAACACGUGGAUAACCUGCCUCAAGGCUGGGGAUAACAUUUGGAAACAGAUGCUAAUACCGAAUAAAACUUAGUAUCGCAUGAUACAAAGUUAAAAGGCGCUACGGCGUCACCUAGAGAUGGAUCCGCGGUGCAUUAGUUAGUUGGUGGGGUAAAGGCUUACCAAGACGAUGAUGCAUAGCCGAGUUGAGAGACUGAUCGGCCACAUUGGGACUGAGACACGGCCCAAACUCCUACGGGAGGCUGCAGUAGGGAAUCUUCCACAAUGGGCGCAAGCCUGAUGGAGCAACGCCGCGUGUGUGAUGAAGGCUUUCGGGUCGUAAAGCACUGUUGUAUGGGAAGAAAUGCUAAAAUAGGGAAUGAUUUUAGUUUGACGGUACCAUACCAGAAAGGGACGGCUAAAUACGUGCCAGCAGCCGCGGUAAUACGUAUGUCCCGAGCGUUAUCCGGAUUUAUUGGGCGUAAAGCGAGCGCAGACGGUUGAUUAAGUCUGAUGUGAAAGCCCGGAGCUCAACUCCGGAAUGGCAUUGGAAACUGGUUAACUUGAGUGUUGUAGAGGUAAGUGGAACUCCAUGUGUAGCGGUGGAAUGCGUAGAUAUAUGGAAGAACACCAGUGGCGAAGGCGGCUUACUGGACAACAACUGACGUUGAGGCUCGAAAGUGUGGGUAGCAAACAGGAUUAGAUACCCUGGUAGUCCACACCGUAAACGAUGAAUACUAGGUGUUAGGAGGUUUCCGCCUCUUAGUGCCGAAGCUAACGCAUUAAGUAUUCCGCCUGGGGAGUACGACCGCAAGGUUGAAACUCAAAGGAAUUGACGGGGACCCGCACAAGCGGUGGAGCAUGUGGUUUAAUUCGAAGCAACGCGAAGAACCUUACCAGGUCUUGACAUCCUUUGAAGCUUUUAGAGAUAGAAGUGUUCUCUUCGGAGACAAAGUGACAGGUGGUGCAUGGUCGUCGUCAGCUCGUGUCGUGAGAUGUUGGGUUAAGUCCCGCAACGAGCGCAACCCUUAUUGUUAGUUGCCAGCAUUCAGUUGGGCACUCUAGCGAGACUGCCGGUGACAAACCGGAGGAAGGCGGGGACGACGUCAGAUCAUCAUGCCCCUUAUGACCUGGGCUACACACGUGCUACAAUGGCGUAUACAACGAGUUGCCAACCUGCGAAGGUGAGCUAAUCUCUUAAAGUACGUCUCAGUUCGGACUGCAGUCUGCAACUCGACUGCACGAAGUCGGAAUCGCUAGUAAUCGCGGAUCAGCACGCCGCGGUGAAUACGUUCCCGGGUCUUGUACACACCGCCCGUCACACCAUGGGGAGUUUGUAAUGCCCAAAGCCGGUGGCCUAACCUUCGGGAGGGAG